CUCCCCCCCCACCGUUUCCAAGUUCCAAGUAUCCUAACAAGCCAUAAUUUUUUGUAGUGAAGCAAACCAACCAAGUUUUGAAAUUCUUCAACUUCCUAAACCUCGAACGACUCCGAUUUUAGGCACAAUGACGCCGUUCUUGUUUUAUUAAAUGUGAAUGUAUUACAGAUAACAAAGAGCAAUUCACAGUGAAAGAUUAGAUGCAGUGCCAUUAUCUAGAUCUCUUGAAUACUAUGUGCCUAUGUUAUAUGAUGUUGAUUGACAAAACCAAGCUGAAGUGACAGAAACUAAGAGGGGCUGCAAAUAAUUAAACUGCUCUUAUUAGCACUCUUGAUGAUAUUUCUAUGAAUUUUCAGCAUAAUUAUCUACACAAUAAAUGACCAUAUACUUUAUGCGUUAACUUUUAUCAUUUAUGCGUCUUGUAGAACAGGUUUUGUGUUCGUAUCAGUUAACUGAGGGUUUUUACUUUUUGGAAUUGAGCAGAUGUAAUGGAGAUAUCAUUGUUAAAUGUUCCUCUCAACAACAUCUCCCCAUGUUUCCAUUUUUCAUCAAGUAAAAGCAUAAAGAAUAUACUAGCUCAGAGGUAUUAUUGUAAGAGGAUCUACUGAAUAUUUUAAAGUCGAAUCUUGAGGCCAUUGUUGGUGAAGCACCUUUCUGUGAGAUGCUUCAGAAAGCAUUUGCUGGACUAGCUUAAUUUGUUGAUUAUGACUAGAUAGUCCAUUUUUUCCUUGUCAUAAUCAGCAAAGUGAAUGAUAAUGGGAUGACGGGCACUAAUAAAUAUUAUGGUUACAUUUAAGCCUUGAAAUUCUCGAGCUACUUAAAUCUUCCCAUCAAUGCCUUACUGCUGAUACAACUUUGACAUCUCUUGAGCACUGUAUACUAAAAAUUCAGUCUGUGCAUUAUGAACUGAUGUCCAUGACUAUCACAAAGGUUAUUUCAGCUCAAAUGGAAGGCUUUGGAGCAAACUGAGGAAACUCUGUGAAAAUAGUGGAAUGCCUAGGAUUAAAGUCGAACCAAGAGCUUUUGAUUGAGCUUGUGGCCCUUAAACAAUUGAAGGAGAACUUUAAAAAAAUGAAAAAGACUGAGGAAGUUGAAUAUAUUGAGCAAAUUAUAGCUCUUGUUUCCCAUAUGCAUGACUCUUCAUGACAAUGAAAUAGUCUUAGACCCGAAUGCCUGUGCCGAUACCUCCUAAUUUUUGUUGCCCCUCUCACUGUAGUUACUGACUGUUGGGUUCAUAGUAUAUGAAAGAAGUGUGAAUGGAAAAAUGGAGAGUAAAAUAGUGGAGGGAAGGAGACACUAAAAUGAAAAGUGUACUCUCAAAUUAGAAAGUUUACUCUUUCUCCCACAUUGGUGGAAGUAGAGAACUUGGAAGUGUUUGUAAUCAAGAACACUUGCUCCACAUGGUAAGUAAGGCAAGAAAUAAAAAAUGUCUCGUGUCGUCGUCGCUCGCUCGGCUUCGGCUUUGGCAAAUGAUUGAGCGAUGAGAUUUAGGAAAAAUUUUCUAAUACUCUAUUUAUAUAAUUACAUGCAGUAACAGUUGCAAUGUUUCGAACAGAACUGAUGUUUCAGUUGCACUAUUUCAAGUAACAGUUACAGUAACAGAACUGAUGUUUCAGUUGCACUAUUUCAAGUGAACUGAUGCACUGCUUCAUGAACUGAUAUGAAUUUUCAGAAAGAGGUGCAACCGAACUGAUGUUUCAGUUGCACUAUUUCAAGUGAACUGAUGCACUGCUUCAUGAACUGAUAUGAAUUUUCAGAAAGAGGUGCAACCUUUAAAGUGAACCAUUGCCUCUUUUCAGAAGAGGCAUGUUAUGGCUAUAUAAACCUGCUUUCA
Molecule: long non-coding RNA, 1834 nt
Organism: Capsicum annuum
Lineage: Eukaryota; Viridiplantae; Streptophyta; Magnoliopsida; Solanales; Solanaceae
Exons: 3
Source: RefSeq, a predicted model, not a curated record